This 460-nucleotide ribosomal RNA is filed under the name uncultured bacterium. Its description in RNAcentral is "partial 16S ribosomal RNA". It matches the Rfam family "Bacterial small subunit ribosomal RNA", at positions 338 to 795 of the family's 1533-position model. The record is from RNAcentral.
CCUACGGGCGGCAGCAGUGAGGAAUAUUGGUCAAUGGCCGGAAGGCUGAACCAGCCAUGCCGCGUGAAGGUCAGUGCCCUAUGGGCGUUAAACUUCUUUUGUGCGGGAGCAAUAAUGGUCAGGUGUGGCCAGACGAGAGUACCGUACGAAUAAGCAUCGGCUAACUCCGUGCCAGCAGCCGCGGUAAUACGGGUGAUGCAAGCGUUAUCCGGAUUUAUUGGGUUUAAAGGGUGCGUAGGCUGUGAGGUAAGUCAGCGGGGAAAUGCCCACGCUAAACGGGGUGAAGUGCCAUUGAUACUGCCUUGCUGGAAUGCGGAUGACGUGGGAGGAAUGUGUGGUGUAGCGGUGAAAUGCAUAGAUAUCACACAGAACACCGAUUGCGAAGGCAUCUCACGAAUCCGCGAUUGACGCUGAUGCACGAAAGCGUGGGUAUCAAACAGGAUUAGAUACCCCGGUAGUC